This 1074-nucleotide long non-coding RNA is filed under the name Monodelphis domestica (gray short-tailed opossum). Its description in RNAcentral is "lncRNA (ENSMODG00000047417.1)". The record is from RNAcentral. Lineage: Eukaryota; Metazoa; Chordata; Mammalia; Didelphimorphia; Didelphidae.
ACCAAGCACUGGGUGGAGGGAAGGCGCGAGCAGAAGAUGCAGGCUUGGACUCUAAAUUGCUUUGUCAAUAUCAGCGAGAGGAGAAAUCCACAUCACCGUGGUCGUGGGCAGCUAUCCUCUCUCUGCAUGGUUUCCAGAGCUUCGUAUCCAGCUCUCACCUCUCUCCGGAGCUCCAGGCCCACAUCACCAGUUAUCUGCCAGAAUGGCCCUUUGGAGUACCCAUAAGCAUCUCAAACUCAGCUUGUGUCAAAUGGAACUCAGCAUCUUUCCCUUUAAACUCACUUCUUGGAGGGAAAGAAAAUGGAUUGUGGAAGCAUGGAGAAAUACUUAAAAAGGAAAUAAAGGCCCGGCACUUCCUCCUUUCCUUAUUUACAUGGAGGACGAGGUCCUCCAGGAUCCAGUCAACCAUGUUCCCAAGCUGAAGAAUUACCUUUGCUGCCUGGCCCCUCCCUCCACACCCAAUCAGUGGCCCCGUUUUCUAGGCUCCAUCUGCACUGCGUCUUUGUCCCCUCACUGAUGCCGCAGCUUCCCUAGUUCAGGCCCUCAUCCCCGCUCAUGUCCUUCUUCCCUUUGGUCCUUCUGCCCCCAGUGAUGCCCUCUGCGGCCGCUGUCUCCCAGGUGCCUAAGCAAUACUUAUCCCUGAUGCAGAAUUCCGCCGCAGUGGUCAAGAAGCUUCAGCAGCUGCUUCUUACGGCUUCUACAGUGAAAUAGAAAUUCUCCUGCUUGGCAGGGAAAGGCCUCCACAACCCAGUUUUCUAGACGGCCUCACACUCUUCCCCCCAACAUUCCUCACUCUCAGUCACUCUACAGGCGAUCCUCUUCUCCAUGCUUCCACAUGCUCCACCCCCUGCCCAGCGGGCAUCCCUUCUCUGAAAGCUUUACUCUACUCAAGGGCCACCCAAGGUCCCGUCUCCUUUCAGGGCCCUUCUGGAGCCACCCCUUCCAUGGUGGUUCCUGCCCCCCUGCCCCCAUUCUGUAUUUCUCUAGUCCAUGACUUUAGUUGACUUCUCUGUGUCCCCUUGAGUUUCUCCUCUGAAUUACAAGCUGACAGAGGGCGGGCCACGUUUGGUUUUG